Astyanax mexicanus (Mexican tetra) is the source of this 2762-nucleotide RNA transcript. RefSeq lists it as uncharacterized. The record is from RefSeq and is a predicted model, not a curated record. Lineage: Eukaryota; Metazoa; Chordata; Actinopteri; Characiformes; Acestrorhamphidae. The transcript is spliced from 6 exons.
CUGUAUUUCCUUUUUGAUGAUUUGCACACAGCUGAAUGAAAACAUCUUUGCAACUCUGAAAAUCAAACAUGCUGUCUCAAGUGCCUACCACCCUCAGACAAAUGGGCAGGAUGAGCGAACAAAUCAAAAUGUCAAACGUUUAUUGCGGAAGUAUGUAAAUGAAAGCCAUAAUGAUUGGGACAUCCAUUUACCUGCAGUUGUGUAUGGUAUUAACACUGCUAAGCAAGUGGGUAUUCAUUAUACAUUCAUUAUGGUCGAUAUAUAAUGUAAUCGAUAUAUAAUGUUUUAUUUCUGAUAACUUAAUUUGUUUUUAACCAGUCUUCAACCAGGCACACCCCGUAUUUCUUAUUCUUCCAUCGGCACCCUCAUUUGCCAGAGGUUAUGAACGCCUGUCCCAUGGGAGAAGACUUUAAAAUUGCUGACCCAGAAGAUGAUCUUGACACCCGAGUAAAUGAAAUGAAAAUUUUAAAUGAGAAGGUUAGGUCCAAAUUCAUGUAGUCUGACCACAGAAGUUUUUUUUAAUUCAAUGGCAUGUAGUAAAGUGUAAUUUUUUUUUUUCAGGUGCUUAGCAACAUUGAAAAUGCGCAGAAAAGACAACAAAAGUCUUACAGGAACCGUAAGAGAAAGCUAAUGAGCACAAUCAGUCCUGGCGAUGAGGUCUUGAUUUCUCAAGAUUUCAAUAUAAAACAGAGAAAAGACACCCUUGCUGACCGCCACAAAGGUCCUUUCACUGUGGAUAGUAUCUCUAAAAAGGGUGUGGCAUCAGUGGUGAAAGAUAAUGGGACUCGAUGUUGCAUCAAUGUCUCACGGCUAAGGCCUUUCUACAGGUUGGAAAGUAAGAGCUAAGUAGUGUUUUUUUUGUAAUGGUUGACAUGUAAGGUGUAUAUUGUAAAGUUUAUUUUAUUAAUAUUAGACUUAAUUUUUUUUAUUGUCUCUUCAGAUCAUGGAGCAGUUCCAUGUGUGUCACUUCAGGACCAUGAGUAUGGUACACCUGAUGAAGCAACAGACCAUCCUUAUGCUUUUUCUGGAGAGAAAUGGGAAAAAGACUUGGGUCCUCUCCAGGAAAAACUGUUGAAAUAUGUCCUGGACAAAAGCCUUCCAGCAGCAGAAUUGAUUGUUAAAGAUGACAAUAUCUGUCUUACACGUGAGGACUUGUGGAGUCUUGGGUUAAAUCAGUGCAUGGAGUCUACUGUAAGUAUAUUCAUGUUGCAGCAUGCUUGCUCAAAGGCACAGAAAUAGUUUUUUUUGUGUGUAAUUUAUGCCUUUAUUUUGUUUUAUUACGUCUAGAUUGGGAAUGCAUGUUUUAAGAUCAUCAGAGAAGCUGCUCAAAAACAUGUAAUUAAUUACAGAAGCUCAAACAUUGUUAUUUUGUAUACUUCUUCAUGGGUACUUGUAUACAUUUGCUAAUCUUGUUGUGUUGUAAAUAGGGGAAAGAUGUUUACAUUGCUGACAUGUAUGUGGUUCCCACAUGGAAAACGAUGAAUGUGGACCCACUCUCAAGUUUACCGGUAAAGUGAAGUUAAACACACACACAGACAGACAGUUGCACAUUAAUGCAAUGAUUUCUGUACAAUGCACAGUAGUUGAAUGGUUGCAUUUUCUUUCUCUACACCAGAACAAUCUGUGUUCCAAGAAUGCGAUUUUGUUCCCUGCAUGUAGUAUGCAACAGAAUCAACUGGAUCACUAUUUGCUAUGUGUUGAGUUACAGUUUCAAAAAAUAGAUAUUCAGAUUUUUAGAAUGAAGUUUGUUGAUUAGCUUAUCAUUUUGAAAUAUGUCCAUUGCAGGUUUUACUGGUUGUGGAGAGAGAGAUAAUUUUUCUAGAUUCUGUACUCCCUGGUGGUUUUGGAGAUGACUCGUACAAAACGAUAUUUAGGUUAAGAGAGAGGAAAAAGUUGCCCUUGUUCAGUGGCUUUUACCAAUAAUAUUUUACGCAAGAGCCAUGUUCUGUGGCUGCUGAUUUACACAAAAGCCUUGUUCUAUGGCUGAUGAUUUACAAAAAGCCUUGUUCUAUGGCUGAAAAUUAACAAAAAGCCUUGUUCUAUGGCUGCUUAUUUAUAGCUUUGUUCUUUUGUUUUAUGUUUACGCAGAAGCCUUGUUCGAUGGCUGUAGGAUUAGGUCUCAUUUUAUGAAACUAGACCAUGGAGAACAAUUGUAUGACUAUAGGUUUCAGUAAGUGUGUGUCCAUAAUUAAUUUUUUUUCCCAUUUUAUGUGCAGACAUAUUGCAGGCCAGAUUGACCCAAGACCCUGGACAGAGAAGACCGGCAGAAGUUUUGAUCACUUCCCUCAACAAACUUCUGGGAACUACUGUGGCAUCCUUAUACUCAUUUAUGCCCUCUGUAUCUGCACCAAUACCCCAUUUAUCUUCACAGAGAAUGAUGUGCCAUUAAUCCGCCAGUGGUGGUGCAUCCUCCUGAUGGAAAGAUUUCAGAUUGAAGGGUAAGGCCACUCUGCUAAAGUAUUCAUGCCUUUUCUGCAUUUUAUUUCAUUUGAUUACCUGCUGAUUAAGUUUUUUGAUUCAACAGACAUGGCCAGAGGUUUGCUUUCUGGACUGACAAGGCUAGCAGGCUAUUGCAAGGGACCCUUCAGCCACUUUUUAGGGUAUCUAGGUCAAUCACUUCAGACAUUCCACCUCAUGUGCAAACCAUGGUCAACCGCACAGCCCAAGAAAAGAAGCUGGUAGACUUUGCUGUACAAGACCAUGGAGUCCGGCAACAUUUGUUGGUAUGUUUGUCACACAUUAACAAUGUUUGUUAUUUACAA